CGAGUUUGAUCCUGGCUCAGAACGAACGCUGGCGGCAGGCCUAACACAUGCAAGUCUAGCGCGCCCUUCGGGGUGAGCGGCGGACGGGUGAGUAACGCGUGGGAACGUACCCUUUGCUACGGAAUAGUCUCGGGAAACUGGGGGUAAUACCGUAUGAGCCCUUCGGGGGAAAGAUUUAUCGGCAAAGGAUCGGCCCGCGUUGGAUUAGGUAGUUGGUGGGGUAAUGGCCCACCAAGCCGACGAUCCAUAGCUGGUUUGAGAGGAUGAUCAGCCACAAUGGGACUGAGACAAGGCCCAUACCCCUACGGGGGGCGAGCAGUGGGGAAUCUUGCGCAAUGGACGAAAGUCUGACGCAGCGAUCUCGCGUGAAGGAUGAAGCUUUGCGGAGUGUAAACUUCUUUUCUGGGAGAAAACGACUGAUGGUAUCUCAAGAAUAAAGGGACGGCUAACUACGUG
Molecule: ribosomal RNA, 456 nt
Filed under: uncultured bacterium
Lineage: Bacteria
Description: bacterial SSU rRNA
Rfam family: Bacterial small subunit ribosomal RNA
Source: RNAcentral